UGAGGAAUUUUCCGCAAUGGGCGCAAGCCUGACGGAGCGACGCCGCGUGAGGGAUGAAGGCUUUCGGGUCGUAAACCUCUUUUGCAAGGGGAAAAGGUUUGUAUGCUAAUACCAUGUAAACUUGAUGGUACUUUGCGAAUAAGCCCCGGCUAACUACGUGCCAGCAGCCGCGGUAAUACGUAGGGGGCGAGCGUUGUCCGGAAUUACUGGGCGUAAAGGGCGUGUAGGCGGUUGAAUAAGUCUGAUGUGAAAUGCCGGAGCUCAACUUCGGAAUGGCAUUGGAAACUGUUUGACUGGAGUUCGGUAGGGGUGACUGGAAUUCCUGGUGUAACGGUGAAAUGUGUAGAUAUCAGGAGGAACACCUGUGGCGAAGGCGGGUCACUGGGCCGUAACUGACGCUGAGACGCGAAAGCGUGGGUAGCAAACAGG
Molecule: ribosomal RNA, 429 nt
Filed under: uncultured bacterium
Lineage: Bacteria
Description: bacterial SSU rRNA
Rfam family: Bacterial small subunit ribosomal RNA
Source: RNAcentral